AAUGAACGCUGGCGGCGCGCCUAAUACAUGCAAGUCGAGCGAGAAGACGUAGCAAUACGUUUGUAAAGCGGCGAACGGGUGAGGAAUACAUGGGUAACCUACCCUCGAGUGGGGAAUAACUAGCCGAAAGGUUAGCUAAUACCGCGUACGCUCCUUGGACUUCGGUUCAGGGAGGAAAGCGAUACCGUGGGUAUCGCGCUCUUGGUUGGGCUCAUGUCCUAUCAGCUUGUUGGUGAGGAACGGCUCACCAAGGCUUCGACGGGUAGCUGGUCUGAGAGGACGAUCAGCCACACUGGCACUGCGACACGGGCCAGACUCCUACGGGAGGCAGCAGUAAGGAAUAUUGCGCAAUGGGCGAAAGCCUGACGCAGCGACGCCGCGUGGGGGAGUGAAGGUCUUCGGAUUGU
This 407-nucleotide ribosomal RNA is filed under the name uncultured bacterium. RNAcentral's name for it is "bacterial SSU rRNA". It matches the Rfam family "Bacterial small subunit ribosomal RNA", at positions 29 to 426 of the family's 1533-position model. The record is from RNAcentral.